RNAcentral lists this ribosomal RNA (530 nucleotides) under uncultured bacterium. Its description in RNAcentral is "bacterial SSU rRNA". It matches the Rfam family "Bacterial small subunit ribosomal RNA", at positions 355 to 896 of the family's 1533-position model. The record is from RNAcentral.
UGGGGAAUAUUGCACAAUGGGCGGAAGCCUGAUGCAGCGACGCCGCGUGGGGGAUGAAGGCCUUCGGGUUGUAAACUCCUUUCGACAGGGACGAAGCGUAAGUGACGGUACCUGUAUAAGAAGCACCGGCUAACUACGUGCCAGCAGCCGCGGUAAUACGUAGGGUGCGAGCGUUGUCCGGAAUUACUGGGCGUAAAGAGCUCGUAGGUGGUUUGUCGCGUCGUCUGUGAAAUUCCGGGGCUUAACUCCGGGCGUGCAGGCGAUACGGGCUGACUUGAGUGCUGUAGGGGAGACUGGAAUUCCUGGUGUAGCGGUGAAAUGCGCAGAUAUCAGGAGGAACACCGAUGGCGAAGGCAGGUCUCUGGGCAGUAACUGACGCUGAGGAGCGAAAGCAUGGGUAGCGAACAGGAUUAGAUACCCUGGUAGUCCAUGCCGUAAACGGUGGGCGCUAGGUGUAGGGGGCUUCCACGUCUUCUGUGCCGUAGCUAACGCAUUAAGCGCCCCGCCUGGGGAGUACGGCCGCAAGGCUA